UACAGAGAUGGCGAGCGUUACUCGGAUUUAUUGGGUGUAAAGGGCAGGUAGGCGGCUAUGCAAGUUGGGGGUGAAAUCCUGUGGCUCAACCACAGAGCUGCCUUCAAAACUGCAUAGCUUGAGGCUAGAGGAGGAGAGCGGAAUUCCCGGUGUAAGAGUGAAAUCUGUAGAUAUCGGGAGGAACACCAGUGGCGAAAGCGGCUCUCUAGUCUAGCCCUGACGCUAAGCUGCGAAAGCUAGGGGAGCAAACAGGAUUAGAAACCCGUGUAGU
This 271-nucleotide ribosomal RNA is filed under the name uncultured bacterium. Its description in RNAcentral is "partial 16S ribosomal RNA". It matches the Rfam family "Bacterial small subunit ribosomal RNA", at positions 524 to 794 of the family's 1533-position model. The record is from RNAcentral.